RNAcentral lists this long non-coding RNA (118 nucleotides) under Chinchilla lanigera (long-tailed chinchilla). RNAcentral describes it as "lncRNA (ENSCLAG00000022970.1)". Lineage: Eukaryota; Metazoa; Chordata; Mammalia; Rodentia; Chinchillidae. The record is from RNAcentral.
AUUUUACCAAUAUCAGAAACCAAGGAAAAAGAGGUGCAGUGUAAUAAAGUGGAUGUGCUGGCCAGGUUUCUGCCACUAUAACACGUAUCUGAAAUAAACCAAUUUGGAUAAAGAAUGU